GUUGUAGAGAGCGUCUUCUUUGAAGUACAGCUUGCGGCCGUGCACAGCCAAUCAGCGGGCGGCGUUCCCGGCUGGGCCCAGGGCGAGCCAAUCAGCGGACAGACCGCGGAGGGGAGCCGCCCCAAAGCCUCACGUCAAUCAUCUGUUGGGGCAGCACCGCUCUGACUGUCAAGUGAGAUGAGAUUUUGUAUUUUUUAAAUACGUUUUAUAAUUCUGCUGUCCGGAAUCAAUGUCUGCUUUCAUUCUAGACACGAGUCCAGGUGAGCCGGGCCCAAGCAGGCAAUCUUUGGGGUUGCAGACAGAUCUCAGAUACUUUUUUUAACAAAACGCCCCAGAAGAAGGGGGGGUGUUUGAGGACAGAGACCACCACCACCACCACUACUGAUUGGGAGGUUUGGCAGCUCUUUGAGGGGAGGAAUGGGAGGCCUUCCUAAUGUGGGGAAGUCAACCUUCUUCAACCGCCCUGACAAAGAGUCAAGCGGCAGCAGAACAUUUCCCCUUCUGCACCAUUGACCCAAAUGAAAGCAGAGUGCCCAUUCCUCAUGAACGCUGUGAUUUCCUCUGCCAAUUCCGCGGGGCUGCCAGGACGCUAUGUGCAGAAUCAAGGGCCGGGUCGCGGAUGAAGGGAGGCAGGGCCUCCGCCGCCGUUCGGGACGAAGAACGAAGAGGAGGGAGGAAGACUACGGCAGGGGAGGAAGAGCCGGUAAGGGCCCUGAGAUGUUGAGGAGACUGGAGGACUUCACCCAUUGUCUAGUGUGGGUUCUAGCAUGCGUGUUCAAGUGCGUGUUUGUGUGUGUGUUUGUAUUCCUUUGCGCGUGUGUGUGUGUGUGUGUGUUUGGGUUUGGGUUCUAAUGUGUGUGUGGUUGUGUUUUUGUGUUCCAGCAUGUAUGUGUGUGUGUGUGUGUGUGUGUGUGUGUGUGUGUGUGUGUGUGUGUGUGUGUGUGUGUGUGUGUGUGUGUGUGUGUGUGUGUGUGUGUGUGUGUGCUCUGACAUACCAUUCAAUAUUGCAAAUUCCAAGUCUCCCAAACUCUGCCCUUCAUUAAGUUCUGUUCAGCACAUGGUCUCCAUUUUACAUUUGAUAUCAAAGAAGCCAACGGACAAAAACAUAAACAUAAACAUCUAAAAUUAUAAAAGGCAAAGUAGCAGUAAAUGUCAUCUGGAUUAAUUCCUUAAAUCAUGAGGAAGAAUCCUUAAUUGCUCUCCAAAUUGUUGCUCAAGACAUGGUUACACUUAGUAUCCAUGAGUCCACUUCAAUUUUCAUAACUUAUUAUUAAAAGUAGACGUAAGUAACCAACGUUACUUCACUUUCUGUUAUCUUUAAAACUGUGACAUUUGAAAUGCAAACUCCCUUUUUAGCUCCAAUAUAUUUGAUUAUAGUCUGUCCUCAACUGUUAUAAAUAUCAUUCAAUAUGUUGCAUGUUAAAGUUGUGACAGUAACAUGUUUUGCCCCUUUACUUUGAGUUAUAUCAAUGUCAGAACGCCAAAUACAACAGAAUAAAAACAAUUAGUGGAGAAGGGCGACAUUGAUCCAGAGAGCUAGACAGGCAGCAGAAAACCUGAUUCACUGGAGGGGUGUGUGUCUGUGUCUGUGCAUGUUUGCAUGUGUCAUCGCCUGUGCAUGUGUGUGUGUGUGUGUGUGUCAUCGUCUAUGUGUAUGUGCUGUGUUUGUGUGUGCAGGCUUGUGUCUUUGUGUGGGUGUGUGUUUGAAUGUGUCCGCAUGUGUCGGUGAUUGUUUGUGUGUGUGUGUGUGUGUGAAUGUGUUUCUGCCUGUGUGUGUGUGUGUGUCUCUGUGUGUGUGUGUGUAUGCUUGUGUCUAUGUGGGUGUGUGUUUGAGUGUGUUUGCAUUUGUGCGUUUCUGUUUGUGUUUAUCCUUGUGUUUGUCUGUUUGUGUCUGUAUGCGUGUGUGUUUGAGUGUGUCUGUGUGUGUGUCUGUAUUUGUAUGCUUGUGCAUGUGUCUGUGUAUGCGUUACUCUGUGUGUAUUUGCUCGUGUGCAUGCGUGUGUGUGUGUGUGUGUGUGUGUUUCUGUGUAUGCUUGUUUGUGUUUUUGUGUGUUUAUGCGUAUGCCUGUGUCUGUGUUUGUGUGUCUCUGUGUGUGUAUGUGCUCACUCACGUGCGCGUGCAUGUGUGAGGUGAGAGAUGGAGCAGGGAACAAAUGGGCGUUGUGAUCUAAUCAUCCUUCAGCUGUUACACGAUCACCU
Long non-coding RNA from Gadus macrocephalus (Pacific cod), 2199 nucleotides. RefSeq lists it as uncharacterized. Lineage: Eukaryota; Metazoa; Chordata; Actinopteri; Gadiformes; Gadidae. The record is from RefSeq and is a predicted model, not a curated record. The transcript is spliced from 6 exons.